RNAcentral lists this long non-coding RNA (1043 nucleotides) under Mytilus galloprovincialis (Mediterranean mussel). Lineage: Eukaryota; Metazoa; Mollusca; Bivalvia; Mytilida; Mytilidae. The record is from RNAcentral.
AUAUAUUUAGACAGUGAUGUGUCAAAAGUUCCAUGUCCUUACAUUGUAUAAUUUAAAAUAGAAAAAGACCAUAAUACUUGGCACUGAAUAGCAUAGGACGGUUUAAACAAUGUAAUUUGAAUAGUUUAACAUGACAAAGAAAUAGACGAAAUGACAAACAGUCGUGGAAAGGAUACCAAUACAAAGUUACACCAACACGAAACUACCCACAACAAAGUAUCCUCAGAUAAUACUCCCUGCUGACACCGGUUGUUCAUUACUGCUUUUAUGCUUGGAUUAGUUUUUACAAGCAAAAAAAAGAAGGAUGGGUUGUUUACUCGAAAGCCGAUUUGAAAACUUAGCUUGAUCAUGAUGGUGUUUCAAAAUCUUUAGAGGAGACAUUUUAAUUUUACCAUUCAAUAGUAUUGAUCUUGAGGUUAUGUUUGAAAUUAAGUUCAAUUGCUUACUUGCUUUCAUUAUUUUGAUUCAUGCGUCACUGAUGGGUCUUUUGUAGACGAAACAGGCGUCUGACGUACAAAAAAGUAAUCCUGGUAUCUAUGAAAAGUUUAUGUACAAGUAUAAGACAACCCUCUGUUACGGAAAUCGUAAUAAUGAAACAAAAUUAAAACUGACGUGUCAACUGACAGUGUACAUUCCAUGUGCAGGUUCACAGUUGGAAUGAUGCAGCAUCUGAAACCAUCUGUUUAUUGUUUGAUAGUUCUCAUCCGAUCUUAGCUGUUGUGAGUCUAUGCACGAUGCAGGCCUUAAUUACUACUAGUACAAAAAUGUAUAUCUAUAUACUAUCCUUCACUUCCAAGUUCUAGAGAUCAAUCAUAAUGCAUUGUUUCGCGAAAAGACAAUUUUAGUGUCUUUUAAUUUGAAAAAUGAAAAACCUCAACAAUGAUUCAUUUUUACAAUGUUUGUGGCAAUACAAUAAAUAACAAUAGGCGACGUCAGACGUUUCAUGAUUACAAAAUAGCACUACAAUACACUGUUUCUUAAUUCAAAAGAGAAAUAUAUAUAUGUUUGCUAAGUUACAAAACUGUAUUGUGUUUUUACCAGAC